RNAcentral lists this ribosomal RNA (1532 nucleotides) under Exiguobacterium sp. A3. RNAcentral's name for it is "16S ribosomal RNA". It matches the Rfam family "Bacterial small subunit ribosomal RNA". The record is from RNAcentral. Lineage: Bacteria; Bacillati; Bacillota; Bacilli; Caryophanales.
AGAGUUUGAUCAUGGCUCAGGACGAACGCUGGCGGCGUGCCUAAUACAUGCAAGUCGAGCGCAGGAAGCCGUCUGAACCCUUCGGGGGGACGACGGUGGAAUGAGCGGCGGACGGGUGAGUAACACGUAAAGAACCUGCCCAUAGGUCUGGGAUAACCACGAGAAAUCGGGGCUAAUACCGGAUGUGUCAUCGGACCGCAUGGUCCGCUGAUGAAAGGCGCUCCGGCGUCGCCCAUGGAUGGCUUUGCGGUGCAUUAGCUAGUUGGUGGGGUAACGGCCCACCAAGGCGACGAUGCAUAGCCGACCUGAGAGGGUGAUCGGCCACACUGGGACUGAGACACGGCCCAGACUCCUACGGGAGGCAGCAGUAGGGAAUCUUCCACAAUGGACGAAAGUCUGAUGGAGCAACGCCGCGUGAACGAUGAAGGCUUUCGGGUCGUAAAGUUCUGUUGUAAGGGAAGAACAAGUGCCGCAGGCAAUGGCGGCACCUUGACGGUACCUUGCGAGAAAGCCACGGCUAACUACGUGCCAGCAGCCGCGGUAAUACGUAGGUGGCAAGCGUUGUCCGGAAUUAUUGGGCGUAAAGCGCGCGCAGGCGGCCUCUUAAGUCUGAUGUGAAAGCCCCCGGCUCAACCCGGGGAGGGCCAUUGGAAACUGGGAGGCUUGAGUAUAGGAGAAGAAGAAGUGGAAUUCCACGUGUAGCGUGAAAUGCGUAAAGAUGUGAGACACCAGUGGGCGAAGGCGACUCCUUUGGCCUAUAACUGACGCUGAGGGCGGCGAAGCGUGGGGGAAGCAAACAGGAUAGAAUACCUGGUAGUCCACGCCGUAAACGAAUGAGAUGCUAGGUUUUGGAGGGAUUCCGCCCCUUCAAUGGCUGGAGCUACGCAUAGAGACACUCCGCCUUGGGGAUACCGUUCCAAGUCCUUGAACUCAGGAUUUGACCGGGACUGCCAACAGGGUGGAACAUUGGGAUUAAUUCGGAAGCAACGCGAAGAACCUUACCAACUCUUGACAUCCCCCUGACCGGUACAGAGAUGUACCUUCCCCUUCGGGGGCAGGGGUGACAGGUGGUGCAUGGUUGUCGUCAGCUCGUGUCGUGAGAUGUUGGGUUAAGUCCCGCAACGAGCGCAACCCUUGUCCUUAGUUGCCAGCAUUUGGUUGGGCACUCUAGGGAGACUGCCGGUGACAAACCGGAGGAAGGUGGGGAUGACGUCAAAUCAUCAUGCCCCUUAUGAGUUGGGCUACACACGUGCUACAAUGGACGGUACAAAGGGCAGCGAAGCCGCGAGGUGGAGCCAAUCCCAGAAAGCCGUUCUCAGUUCGGAUUGCAGGCUGCAACUCGCCUGCAUGAAGUCGGAAUCGCUAGUAAUCGCAGGUCAGCAUACUGCGGUGAAUACGUUCCCGGGUCUUGUACACACCGCCCGUCACACCACGAGAGUUUGCAACACCCGAAGUCGGUGAGGUAACCGUAAGGAGCCAGCCGCCGAAGGUGGGGCAGAUGAUUGGGGUGAAGUCGUAACAAGGUAACCGUA